AAAACAUAAACUAACGCUGGCGGCGUGCCUAACACAUGCAAGUCGUACGAGAAAGUUGGCUUCGGCCGAUGAGUAAAGUGGCGCACGGGUGAGUAACGCGUGGAUAAUCUACCCCUCAGUUGGGAAUAACUCAUCGAAAGGUGGGCUAAUACCGAAUAAUACUGCAUGACUUCUGUUGUAUAGUCAAAGAUGGCCUCUGCUUGCAAGCUAUCGCUGAAGGAUGAGUCCGCGUACCAUUAGCUAGUUGGUAGGGUAAUGGCCUACCAAGGCAACGAUGGUUAGCUGGUCUGAGAGGAUGAUCAGCCACACUGGAACUGAGACACGGUCCAGACUCCUACGGGAGGCAGCAGUGAGGAAUAUUGCGCAAUGGGGGCAACCCUGACGCAGCAACGCCGCGUGAGUGAGGAAGGUUUUCGGACCGUAAAGCUCUGUCGAGCGGGAAGAAAUGCAUAGUGGCUAAUAUCCAUUAUGCUUGACGGUACCGCUAAAGGAAGCACCGGCUAACUCCGUGCCAG
Molecule: ribosomal RNA, 515 nt
Filed under: uncultured bacterium
Lineage: Bacteria
Description: bacterial SSU rRNA
Rfam family: Bacterial small subunit ribosomal RNA
Source: RNAcentral